UCCAAUGAAAACAGUAUUAUUAGAACAAUGUUUAAUAUUUUGUUACAAGCUAGGGUAACAAUUCACUGUAAUCACAUGGUUCUAGAUAUGUGUCCAUGUGUUUUCAUAAGUUCUUGAUUUCAUCAUAUCUGUUUAAGUCCUCUGUUAGACACCUUUCUUGUUAUAUUUUGAUAAAUGUCUGAUUAGUUCAAUGUUUGUGAAUUAUACAACUAAUGAGCCAGUGGGUUUAUAAUGUCAGUCACAAUAUAAUCUGUAUGCUGCUGAUUUAUUGAUGAGAUUUUGUUAUGGUGCUACAUGUAUGUGUAAGAUUGUACAAUGAGAACCCAUAUUACAUUUUAAGUCCAAACAUUUUUAAGAUCAGUCAUCUUUUUAUUAUACAAAAUAUUACUGAUGUUUACAGUGCUCCCAGACUAUUAUUGGACAUGUUAAGGCACCCUUUCACACAUGGUUGGCUGUAAGCUACUCGAGCCAGCAACGCGUAAGUUUUCAGUGUAGAUAAUCACUUUAUUGUUUUCUUUUUUAGUGUUCGAAAAGACAAGUAAUGCCUGACUGUAAUUAACUGUAUAUCAUUGUAUGAUUUGUUACAAAUUAACUAUUAGACGAUUGUGUCUUGCCCUUAUCUCAUUAUAUACAGUAUAAUGUGAAUGUUUCUACUCAUGGUUUAUCAUGUACAGUAUAAUGAGACAGAUUCUAGUCAUUGUAAUAGAGUUAUCUCCCUUGGAUUUCUUUGCUGUGAUACCGUAAUUAUCCACAUUUUAUCCCUACCAUUAUUGGUAUUGCAGUAAUACCGUAAUUAUCCACAUUUUAUCCCUACCAUUCUUGGUAUUACCUGUAAACAUAAUUAGUAGAAGGAAUCAAUAAGUGUACGAACAUCUUUCUGGAAAUAUUCUUUAAUAAGAAUGAUAUUGUAGUUCACAUUGCAUGUGUACUUGUUAUUUGUUUGUUGUAGUUUCUUACGGUUUGAAGAAUAUUAAAAGUCUAAAGCAUCUGACGUGUUCUUCGCCGUUAUCUAUCUGUCAGUCCCAAGGACAGAACAGUAAGAAAGCGUUGUUGACGAGAACAGAACUGAAUCCCUGAUACAGCCGACAGAACAGCACAAUCCUACAGGUGAACAACAACAGAUCGAACCCUCAAACUUCAUUGAUCUUAUACAGCCGACAGAACAGCACAAUCCUACAGGUGAACAACAACAGAUCGAACCCUCAAAUGUCAUGCUGCAAGGUCCCACAGAUCAAGAUUCACCUGUCACUGUGAAGAUGCCAAGAAUGCCGGCUUGUGGAAUUUGCAGAGACAGAUAUUGCGAUUCAUUUUUCAAUCCUUGUGGCCAUUUGGUUUGCCUUGUGUGUGCUGUGGAACUGGAGGAGAGGCAUCAACAUUGCCACAUCUGCCGUCAAGACAUUGACAAAAUCAAUCCUUUAUAUCUGUAAUUUUUUUUCAAAAUGCUAUAGUCUUACCAGACCCAGGAACACCAAACACAAUUUAGUGAUCCUGUUUUCAGUUUUAAAUACUUUAAAUACUGCAUGCAUUUUUAAACGCUGCUUAGACUUAAUAAGCAAUAUUCAUUGUAUUAAAUCAAAGUUUUAAAAAAUAGUAAGAAUAUGGGUCGUAUUCACAUUUUGUUUGCCAGAACUUCUGGCAUCUGUUUCUGGAAAACUAGCCGAUUUUAUUGCGGCAACCUUGCAGCGGUGUGGUGCUCUGGUUUUUAAUUUGUAUUACAUUUGCUUUACUGUAUACAGUUUUUGCCUU
Mizuhopecten yessoensis (Yesso scallop) is the source of this 1746-nucleotide long non-coding RNA. RefSeq lists it as uncharacterized. NCBI's taxonomy places the organism in Eukaryota, Metazoa, Mollusca, Bivalvia, Pectinida, Pectinidae. The record is from RefSeq and is a predicted model, not a curated record. The transcript has 3 exons.